This 507-nucleotide ribosomal RNA is filed under the name uncultured bacterium. Its description in RNAcentral is "partial 16S ribosomal RNA". The record is from RNAcentral.
GGAGUUAGCCGGUGCUUCUUCUGUGAGUGAUGUCCUUCCUGCCGGCUAUUAACCCGCAGGCCUUCUUCCUCACUGAAAGUGCUUUACAACCCGAAGGCCUUCUUCACACACGCGGCAUGGCUGGAUCAGGGUUGCCCCCAUUGUCCAAUAUUCCCCACUGCUGCCUCCCGUAGGAGUCUGGGCCGUGUCUCAGUCCCAGUGUGGCUGAUCAUCCUCUCAGACCAGCUACGGAUCGUCGCCUUGGUGAGCCGUUACCUCACCAACCAGCUAAUCCGACAUAGGCUCAUCCGAUAGCGCGAGGCCCGAAGGUCCCCCGCUUUCCCCCGUAGGGCGUAUGCGGUAUUAGCCUGGGUUUCCCCAGGUUAUCCCCCACUACCGGGCAGAUUCCUAUGCAUUACUCACCCGUCCGCCGCUCGCCACCAGGGAGCAAGCUCCCCGUGCUGCCGCUCGACUUGCAUGUGUUAGGACUGCCGCCAGCGUUCAAUCUGAGCCAGGAUCAAACUCUGA